This 448-nucleotide ribosomal RNA is filed under the name uncultured bacterium. Its description in RNAcentral is "bacterial SSU rRNA". It matches the Rfam family "Bacterial small subunit ribosomal RNA", at positions 329 to 792 of the family's 1533-position model. The record is from RNAcentral.
UACCAGACUCCUACGGGAGGCAGCAGUGGGGAAUAUUGGGCAAUGGGCGCAAGCCUGACCCAGCAACGCCGCGUGAAGGAAGAAGGCUUUCGGGUUGUAAACUUCUUUUGUCAGGGACGAAGCAAGUGACGGUACCUGACGAAUAAGCCACGGCUAACUACGUGCCAGCAGCCGCGGUAAUACGUAGGUGGCAAGCGUUAUCCGGAUUUAUUGGGUUUAAAGGGUGCGCAGGCGGAAGAUCAAGUCAGCGGUAAAAUUGAGAGGCUCAACCUCUUCGAGCCGUUGAAACUGGUUUUCUUGAGUGAGCGAGAAGUAUGCGGAAUGCGUGGUGUAGCGGUGAAAUGCAUAGAUAUCACGCAGAACUCCGAUUGCGAAGGCAGCAUACCGGCGCUCAACUGACGCUCAUGCACGAAAGUGUGGGUAUCGAACAGGAUUAGAUACCCGCGUA